AGAAAGAAAAAGCUGAAUUGCAAACAGCUGUGUUGUUUCCUCCUAAAUUUCGACUCUCGUGUCUUUUUCGAAAGGUACCCAAUUAUAUUGGCCACUUUGUAGAUCCAUUUCAUUUUCUUCUUCUAUGUUUUAACAUAUACUUUUAUUUUUUAUGACAUAGUUAUACUCUGACAGAUUCGCACUUUAGUGUGUUAUAUUCACCUCUUAGCUUAUUUUGGUAAAAAAAAAAAAAAACACACUCCCAAGUUAAAUCUUUUAAAAAAAAAAAAUUCAAUAGAUAUACAAAUUAAAAAAAAAUAAUGUAAAAUUAUUAUAGUAAAUUAGUUUUGGGAUUAAAGCUUAGAGCGAUCUAAUGUGUUAGUGUAACUUGGGGCGUGAGACCUAUUUCGAG
This 391-nucleotide long non-coding RNA is filed under the name Capsella rubella. RNAcentral's name for it is "long non-coding RNA (CRUB_LNC001815)". The record is from RNAcentral. Lineage: Eukaryota; Viridiplantae; Streptophyta; Magnoliopsida; Brassicales; Brassicaceae.